This 25-nucleotide microRNA is filed under the name Gallus gallus (chicken). Its description in RNAcentral is "gga-miR-6632-5p". The record is from miRBase by way of RNAcentral. Lineage: Eukaryota; Metazoa; Chordata; Aves; Galliformes; Phasianidae.
AGAGAUGAGAGGAGUGGAUGACAGC